This 325-nucleotide ribosomal RNA is filed under the name uncultured bacterium. Its description in RNAcentral is "bacterial SSU rRNA". It matches the Rfam family "Bacterial small subunit ribosomal RNA", at positions 28 to 334 of the family's 1533-position model. The record is from RNAcentral.
GAUGAACGCUGGCGGCGUGCUUAACACAUGCAAGUCGAACGGAGCACCCCUGAAGGAGUUUUCGGACAACGGAAGGGAAUGCUUAGUGGCGGACUGGUGAGUAACGCGUGAGGAACCUGCCUUUCGGAGGGGGACAACAGUUGGAAACGACUGCUAAUACCGCAUGAUGUAUCGGGAUCGCAUGGUCUUGAUACCAAAGAUUUUAUCGCCGAAAGAUGGCCUCGCGUCUGAUUAGCUAGUUGGUGGGGUAACGGCCUACCAAGGCGACGAUCAGUAGCCGGACUGAGAGGUUGGCCGGCCACAUUGGGACUGAGAUACGGCCCAG